UACGUAGGGGGCCAGCGUUGUCCGGAUUCAUUGGGCGUAAAGCGCGCGUAGGCGGCCGGGCAGGUCGCCCGUGACAGCCCCCGGCUCAACCGGGGGGGGUCGGGCGAAACCGCCGGGCUGGAGGCCGGUAGGGGGGAGCGGAAUUCCCGGUGUAGUGGUGGAAUGCGUAGAGAUCGGGAGGAACACCCGUGGCGAAGGCGGCUCACUGGUCCAUAACUGACGCUGAGGUGCGAAAGCGUGGGGAGCAAACAGG
Molecule: ribosomal RNA, 253 nt
Filed under: uncultured bacterium
Lineage: Bacteria
Description: partial 16S ribosomal RNA
Rfam family: Bacterial small subunit ribosomal RNA
Source: RNAcentral